Aegilops tauschii subsp. strangulata is the source of this 2000-nucleotide RNA transcript. RefSeq lists it as uncharacterized. The record is from RefSeq and is a predicted model, not a curated record. Lineage: Eukaryota; Viridiplantae; Streptophyta; Magnoliopsida; Poales; Poaceae.
GAGGAUCACCGGAAGGAGUGCCGCCGGCUCGUCGUCUUUCAUACCUACGCACGCAGCUGCCAGCUGCAGGGGUGUUGCGAGGAGUUAGAGGUUGUGCGCCGGCCGGAGCAGCAGGAGCAAGGAUAUGGCCGCCUCUCUUCUCUGCCACGGUUCCCUCCUCUUCCUUCAGCUCUCGAGAUGUCGACCUGCAGGUUUAGGCAAACCAUUGUUUGACAACAAAUAUGCGGAGGCGUUUUUAUGGAUGUGCGUUUCACCUGAAUCUGGAGAGCUAUUCAAUCUGUCGCGGACAUUUUUGGUGGAAUUCAAUGCUUCAGCAGCUUGGGAGCAAGUAGAAAUACCUGAUUUGAUGCUCAUGCUUCCAAAAUUUUCACAUUUCGCGAGAGCUAGGCGUACUUCUCGAUGACCUUGCCGUCUCCAACCCAUCCGUGGGAUUAUUAUGGAUUUUCUGAAGGUGGUGGUGGGGGUUGCACGGCAUGCUCUGUCUGGUUUCAGGAGUGUGUGCUGCACCUGAAAAAAUUUCUCGGGUUGUCUCUCUUCGUAUUUCCACCUUAGUUGUGAUAUUUUAUUUAUUGCUAAUCAUUUGAGUUAGUGUACAAUCAUAUAUUUGUCACCCAUGGCUCCUUAGAGAGCUGGACAUGCUUGGUUGGAGUCGUCGUCGUCGUCCUGGUUGGGGAGAUGAGCAUGCUUAUGCUUAUAUUACAAAGAUUAGUGUGUAGUCCUUCUAUGCCUUCUAAUUAGAUAGUUUGGCUUGAUUUUAGAUGCUUACAAUCUCUUGUCAUAGAAUUUUAUAAUUGCUUCUCAUGGAAAGCAGCCCUCUCCCAAGCUGACGGACUUGGUUUGUUUUUCAAUGUAGGCAUCAGGUCUCCGAGUCGUUUAAAUCUGAACGCAACACCAAGGCUGCUAGCCUGAGCAUUGCCGAACAAUACAUCAAAGCAUAGCUAAACAUGGAAGCCCUCCCUAAUUCAUCAAUUUACAAAGGUCAUAGGAUGGUGGCAACAGAGGGACUCUUUGGUGCCGGAGAGCUCGGGAUUCAUCACCCCUAACUGAAUCAACCCUGCUAUCACAGGUUCCCUCCUCCUGGUCCUUCAUUGCCACAAAAUUUCCCAUUGCCUUGCAAUUUGUUAGAUUCGUUGAUUUUGCUAUCCUAUAGUCCUGGAUGGGUCCCCAGCCCCAGGCAAACCAAUCUCAGUGGAAUCAUGGAGAUCAAAAGAUUUUGCUAUGUCGAUAUACUUCUAUGAAUUACAUAUUUUCUUCCUUGAGAGUAAUCAGUGUAAUCUUUGAAAAGUAGCCUCUGCAUGUUUAUGGCCUCUCAGCUUCGUGCUUAUGGUGUGGCUGCGUGGAAGCCGACGACAAGUACGGCCGCUCUCUACUUGCCUCUAAUAUGUAUGUCUUAACUCCCUCGAGAAAAGGAGUCUUUGCAAGACUACCCGCAUAUCUGGAGGCAUCGCGUGCGCCCGCCGUUUAUGACCGCCGGAUCGAUUCACCACAGACGGCGGUGAUGCAGACCAGGAACGCAUCGGACAUGGACGCUGUGCGGAAACUCGGCGCUGCCAGCGCCACCUCGGUGAGGAGGAAGACGCUCUGCGACAUCACCAACCUAAGGCGGCCGCUGGUGGCGGCAGGACGGGUUGAGGUACGCGGACGGCGUGGAUGGGAUCGCGUGGUUGGUCAAGGCAAGAUUUGCUGACCCGACUCCACCGCCGUCUCUUUCUUGGUUAUGAGUAUGAUGUGUCGCGGUCGCUAGCGCUGCUCUUUUUUUCUUGAAUCUAUGUGUGUGUAAAUGCAAGAGAAUUCGGAUCUUGUGAAGCUCCUGGAGGAGAGAGUAUUUUCCUUCAUCGAUUGUUCUCUUUUGUCUAGGAUGGAUAGGGCUUCUUGAUGUGUGGUUGUUCUGGUGUUGAAUCUAUUUGGUUUGAUUUGCAUAGUAUACAUCACGGCUCCAUAGUAGACAUCCAUGUUUAAAACUAAGAUCAGAUAUUUGAAUUGUCAGACUCUUUUGCUCA